AACGAACGCUGGCGGCAUGCCUAACACAUGCAAGUCGAACGAAGCCUUCGGGCUUAGUGGCGCACGGGUGCGUAACGCGUGGGAAUCUGCCCUUGGGUUCGGAAUAACAGUUAGAAAUGACUGCUAAUACCGGAUGAUGUCUUCGGACCAAAAAUUUAUCGCCCAAGGAUGAGCCCGCGUAGGAUUAGGUAGUUGGUGGGGUAAUGGCCCACCAAGCCGACGAUCCUUAGCUGGUCUGAGAGGAUGAUCAGCCACACUGGGACUGAGACACGGCCCAGACUCCUACGGGAGGCAGCAGUGGGGAAUAUUGGACAAUGGGCGAAAGCCUGAUCCAGCAAUGCCGCGUGAGUGAUGAAGGCCUUAGGGUUGUAGAGCUCUUUUACCAGGGAUGAUAAUGACAGUACCUGGAGAAUAAGCUCCGGCUAACUCCGUGCCAGCCGCCGCGGUAA
Molecule: ribosomal RNA, 449 nt
Filed under: uncultured bacterium
Lineage: Bacteria
Description: partial 16S ribosomal RNA
Rfam family: Bacterial small subunit ribosomal RNA
Source: RNAcentral